This 460-nucleotide ribosomal RNA is filed under the name uncultured bacterium. RNAcentral's name for it is "partial 16S ribosomal RNA". It matches the Rfam family "Bacterial small subunit ribosomal RNA", at positions 338 to 795 of the family's 1533-position model. The record is from RNAcentral.
CCUACGGGAGGCUGCAGUGAGGAAUAUUGGUCAAUGGACGAGAGUCUGAACCAGCCAAGUAGCGUGAAGGAUGACUGCCCUAUGGGUUGUAAACUUCUUUUAUAUGGGAAUAAAAUGUUCCACGUGUGGGAUUUUGUAUGUACCAUAUGAAUAAGGAUCGGCUAACUCCGUGCCAGCAGCCGCGGUAAUACGGAGGAUCCGAGCGUUAUCCGGAUUUAUUGGGUUUAAAGGGAGCGUAGGUGGAUUGUUAAGUCAGUUGUGAAAGUUUGCGGCUCAACCGUAAAAUUGCAGUUGAAACUGGCAGUCUUGAGUACAGUAGAGGUGGGCGGAAUUCGUGGUGUAGCGGUGAAAUGCUUAGAUAUCACGAAGAACUCCGAUUGCGAAGGCAGUUCACUGGACUGUAACUGACACUGAGGCUCGAAAGUGUGGGUAUCAAACAGGAUUAGAUACCCGUGUAGUC